RNAcentral lists this transfer RNA (75 nucleotides) under Candidatus Tectimicrobiota bacterium. Its description in RNAcentral is "tRNA-His". It matches the Rfam family "tRNA". Rfam says of the family: Transfer RNA (tRNA) molecules are approximately 80 nucleotides in length. Their secondary structure includes four short double-helical elements and three loops (D, anti-codon, and T loops). Further hydrogen bonds mediate the characteristic L-shaped molecular structure. tRNAs have two regions of fundamental functional importance: the anti-codon, which is responsible for specific mRNA codon recognition, and the 3' end, to which the tRNAs corresponding amino acid is attached (by aminoacyl-tRNA synthetases). tRNAs cope with the degeneracy of the genetic code in two manners: having more than one tRNA (with a specific anti-codon) for a particular amino acid; and 'wobble' base-pairing, i.e. permitting non-standard base-pairing at the 3rd anti-codon position. The record is from RNAcentral. Lineage: Bacteria; Pseudomonadati; Candidatus Tectimicrobiota.
GUGAGCGUAGCUCAAUGGCAGAGCACUGGACUGUGGCUCCAGGGGCUGAGGGUUCGAGUCCCUUCGCUCACCCCA